Molecule: long non-coding RNA, 1578 nt
Organism: Cuculus canorus (common cuckoo)
Lineage: Eukaryota; Metazoa; Chordata; Aves; Cuculiformes; Cuculidae
Exons: 3
Source: RefSeq, a predicted model, not a curated record
AGAUGCCAGGCCACUUGCUUUUCUGCGCCAGGUGGAGUAGUUUGACAAAUUGCUCCUCUUUUAACUUAAUUUGCAAAUACUCCUGGAAUGCACAUGAAGGAAAUCUGGAUCCGGUCUUGCAGCAGAGGGCAAAGAAAGUAAAGUCUGUGCUACAGCCAGCUUUGUUAUCUUGGUGGUCUCAUUUAGUCUUUUCUGCAUCUCAACAGCCAAAGAGCCCACUAAGGAUAUGGGGAGACUUCCCAUAAGACUAAUGCAGAGAAAUUAAUGAUUGGUCCAGACAAAUACGGGGAACAGACAGGACAGACUACAUGAGCCUCUUCCUCCCUUGAGCGAUGUUGUUUCCCACAACCUGCAUCUGACUGGAAAGCUUACCCUGCCCUGUCCUUUUUAGCUGUGUCCUGCUCCAGCCCAUGCCAUGGGAUGAGUGUACAUGUAGUGAUUGCCAAGGGAAAGUAACAGCUCAGAGGGUUUCAGGAAAAGCUGUCCUGUCUCAGCCUGUGAGCAGCAGUGGGCACUGUCUGGAAGUAGUCAACAAGAUAUGCAGAUGGCACGAUCUAACACAAGUUUCUGAGUAGAUGAUCUGACAGCGUUUCCACACCAGUUCAUGUCAGCUGUGUGAUAUCCAGUUAUGCUUUCUGCAGGUCUGCUGGACCUUUUUCCCAGAACAGGCUCCCUCCCCCUCUGGCAUCUAGGAAGCUGCAAUCCAUAACGCUACAUUUUGAAGACAAAGAGGGAAGUGCAUUGGAUUUAUACCUAACCGGCAAGGGAAGACUGCAGGAUGCACUUUGCAAAGUGUCGCUUAGCAACAUGGCACGCUAAACAACUCCAGCUCUCUCAGCCUCUCCUCACAAGACUUGUUCUCCAGCCCCCUCACCAGCUUCGUUGCUCUUCUCUGGACACUCUCCAGACCCUCAACAUCCUUCUUGUGGUGAGGGGCCCAGCACUGAACACAGUACUCAAGGCUUCAAAGAGCUUUCCUGGAGUUUGGUCCUCACCUCACCCAAACACAAAGAUGAAGAAUGGUAUUAAACAUACAGACUUGUGGUGUUAACACAGCUUGUGAUUUCAUCAGGCAUGGUUAUUUCUUCUUAAAGCUUGGACUCUUGGAUUCAGAUGACUCAGAGGAACUCUCAGCACUAAGGAAACAAGAAAUGAAGUGUCUUCAGGAUCUGCAGAACAGCUUGGAGACAACCAUUUUCCUAACAUAAAUAUCAGAUGUCAAACAAACAGUUAAUAAGUACAAAUCUACUUGAAAGUACUGUUGAUUAAAAAACAUUAUCAAGAACUAUUUGUUUUGGUUUUAGAUUCCGUUUCAGGUUUUGUGGCCAUUGACUCACAUCUGCUGGAUGUCAGAGCUUGAGAAGCCUUUCACUUCACCAACUCCAUUUCUACAUGAAACUCCUGGAGGGCUGCAGACUCCCUUUUUAUUAGUGUUAAAACUAUAAGAGAGCAUGGGCUGGGCACAGCAGGCAAGGCACAGCUCCUCUUCCCCAUCCCUGCUCUGCUGUACCUGGAGACCAUGGCUAUGAGCGUGCCAAGGAUACCAUUUUACGUCUUUGCUUGGAUCUGAGUAAUUUA